This 91-nucleotide non-coding RNA is filed under the name Anaerobacillus isosaccharinicus. RNAcentral describes it as "Anaerobacillus sp. NB2006 c-di-GMP-I riboswitch aptamer". It matches the Rfam family "c-di-GMP-I riboswitch aptamer". From Rfam's summary of the family: GEMM was predicted in a large-scale screen for bacterial structured RNA regulatory elements. Genes associated with GEMM are involved in a diverse array of functions, including chemotaxis regulation, signal transduction, secretion and chitin. RNAcentral also lists the same sequence under 1 other name. The record is from Rfam by way of RNAcentral. Lineage: Bacteria; Bacillati; Bacillota; Bacilli; Caryophanales; Bacillaceae.
AAGUGAAAAAGGCAAACCAUAGGAAACUAUGAGACGCAAAGCCAAGGGCCUGGACCGCGGGAAUUUCCGUGGAUGGCAGCCGGUUACCACA